UACGUAGGGGGCAAGCGUUAUCCGGAAUUAUUGGGCGUAAAGGGUGCGUAGGUGGCUCUGUAAGCGAGGGGUGAAAGGCAAUGGCUCAACCAUUGUUAGCCUUUCGAACUGUGGAGCUUGAGUGCAGGAGAGGAAAGCGGAAUUCCUAGUGUAGCGGUGAAAUGCGUAGAUAUUAGGAGGAACACCGGUGGCGAAGGCGGCUUUCUGGACUGUAACUGACACUGAGGCACGAAAGCGUGGGGAGCAAACAGGAUUAGAUACCCUGGUAGUCCACGCCGUAAACGAUGAGCACUAGGUGU
This 299-nucleotide ribosomal RNA is filed under the name unidentified low G+C gram-positive bacterium. RNAcentral's name for it is "partial 16S rRNA". It matches the Rfam family "Bacterial small subunit ribosomal RNA", at positions 524 to 823 of the family's 1533-position model. Lineage: Bacteria; Bacillati; Bacillota. The record is from RNAcentral.